RNAcentral lists this non-coding RNA (32 nucleotides) under Homo sapiens (human). The record is from RNAcentral. Lineage: Eukaryota; Metazoa; Chordata; Mammalia; Primates; Hominidae.
CUGCUUCUACAGAAAUGUCCUUCUUUGCCUUA